AUGUGAUCGUCUCUCGCAUAUCAAUAAGCGGAGGAAAAGAAACUAACAAGGAUUCCCCUAGUAACGGCGAGUGAAGCGGGAAGAGCUCAAAUUUGAAAUCUUAAAGGGUUUCCCUUUACGAAUUGUAGUUUAAAGAAGUGUUUUCUGUUGAGGUUUUGGUAAAAGUUCUUUGGAAUAGGACAUCAUAGAGGGUGAGAAUCCCGUAUUUGACCUUUACUUUCAACUUUGUGAUACACUUUCAAAGAGUCGGAUUGUUUGGGAAUGCAGUCCAAAAUGGGUGGUAAAUUUCAUCUAAAGCUAAAUAUUGGCGGGAGACCGAUAGCGAACAAGUACCGUGAGGGAAAGAUGAAAAGAACUUUGAAAAGAGAGUUAAACAGUACGUGAAAUUGUCAAAAGGGAAGCGUUUGACACCAGUGUUGUUUUCCUGAAAAUCAAUUAAAGAACUGUUUAUGCUAAGUUGUUUAGACUUUAUCAGCUAACUGUUUAGUUUUGAGCUUUUCUUUAAUGCACUUUUCAGUUAACAAGUCAACAUCAAUUUCUUUUGCUGUAAAAAAGCUUGAGGAAGGUGGCUUGAGAUUCGUCUUAAGUGUUUAUAGCCUCUUGCCUAUGCAGUCGGAGAGAUUGAGAGCUGCAGCGUAGAUCCUUCGGGGCUAAAUGCAUUUGUGCUAAGUUAUAGCAUUUUAUAGACAACUUGUUGACUAUGAUUUGUCUUGUAGCUUACUCGCUUAUGUUAUUUUACCUACGCUUAGGAUGUUGAGUAGCGACAUACGCAC
RNAcentral lists this ribosomal RNA (773 nucleotides) under uncultured Neocallimastigales. RNAcentral's name for it is "partial large subunit ribosomal RNA". It matches the Rfam family "Eukaryotic large subunit ribosomal RNA", at positions 24 to 649 of the family's 3401-position model. The record is from RNAcentral. Lineage: Eukaryota; Fungi; Neocallimastigomycota; Neocallimastigomycetes; Neocallimastigales.